This 2900-nucleotide ribosomal RNA is filed under the name Klebsiella pneumoniae. Its description in RNAcentral is "bacterial LSU rRNA". It matches the Rfam family "Bacterial large subunit ribosomal RNA". Lineage: Bacteria; Pseudomonadati; Pseudomonadota; Gammaproteobacteria; Enterobacterales; Enterobacteriaceae. The record is from RNAcentral.
UUAAGCGACUAAGCGUACACGGUGGAUGCCCUGGCAGUCAGAGGCGAUGAAGGACGUGCUAAUCUGCGAAAAGCGUCGGUAAGGUGAUAUGAACCGUUAUAACCGGCGAUGUCCGAAUGGGGAAACCCAGUGCAAUUCGUUGCACUAUCGUUAACUGAAUACAUAGGUUAACGAGGCGAACCGGGGGAACUGAAACAUCUAAGUACCCCGAGGAAAAGAAAUCAACCGAGAUUCCCCCAGUAGCGGCGAGCGAACGGGGAGCAGCCCAGAGUCUGAAUCAGCUUGUGUGUUAGUGGAACGGUCUGGAAAGUCCGACGGUACAGGGUGAUAGUCCCGUACACCAAAAUGCACAGGUUGUGAACUCGAAGAGUAGGGCGGGACACGUGGUAUCCUGUCUGAAUAUGGGGGGACCAUCCUCCAAGGCUAAAUACUCCUGACUGACCGAUAGUGAACCAGUACCGUGAGGGAAAGGCGAAAAGAACCCCGGCGAGGGGAGUGAAAAAGAACCUGAAACCGUGUACGUACAAGCAGUGGGAGCACCUUCGGGUGUGACUGCGUACCUUUUGUAUAAUGGGUCAGCGACUUAUAUUCUGUAGCAAGGUUAACCGUAUAGGGGAGCCGCAGGGAAACCGAGUCUUAACUGGGCGUUAAGUUGCAGGGUAUAGACCCGAAACCCGGUGAUCUAGCCAUGGGCAGGUUGAAGGUUGGGUAACACUAACUGGAGGACCGAACCGACUAAUGUUGAAAAAUUAGCGGAUGACUUGUGGCUGGGGGUGAAAGGCCAAUCAAACCGGGAGAUAGCUGGUUCUCCCCGAAAGCUAUUUAGGUAGCGCCUCGUGAAUUCAUCUUCGGGGGUAGAGCACUGUUUCGGCUAGGGGGUCAUCCCGACUUACCAACCCGAUGCAAACUACGAAUACCGAAGAAUGUUAUCACGGGAGACACACGGCGGGUGCUAACGUCCGUCGUGAAGAGGGAAACAACCCAGACCGCCAGCUAAGGUCCCAAAGUCAUGGUUAAGUGGGAAACGAUGUGGGAAGGCACAGACAGCCAGGAUGUUGGCUUAGAAGCAGCCAUCAUUUAAAGAAAGCGUAAUAGCUCACUGGUCGAGUCGGCCUGCGCGGAAGAUGUAACGGGGCUAAACCAUGCACCGAAGCUGCGGCAGCGACACUAUGUGUUGUUGGGUAGGGGAGCGUUCUGUAAGCCUGCGAAGGUGACCUGUGAGGGUUGCUGGAGGUAUCAGAAGUGCGAAUGCUGACAUAAGUAACGAUAAAGCGGGUGAAAAGCCCGCUCGCCGGAAGACCAAGGGUUCCUGUCCAACGUUAAUCGGGGCAGGGUGAGUCGACCCCUAAGGCGAGGCCGAAAGGCGUAGUCGAUGGGAAACAGGUUAAUAUUCCUGUACUUGGUGUUACUGCGAAGGGGGGACGGAGAAGGCUAUGUUAGCCGGGCGACGGUUGUCCCGGUUUAAGCAUGUAGGCUGGUUGUCCAGGCAAAUCCGGAUAAUCAAGGCUGAGGUGUGAUGACGAGGCACUACGGUGCUGAAGUAACAAAUGCCCUGCUUCCAGGAAAAGCCUCUAAGCAUCAGGUAACAUUAAAUCGUACCCCAAACCGACACAGGUGGUCAGGUAGAGAAUACCAAGGCGCUUGAGAGAACUCGGGUGAAGGAACUAGGCAAAAUGGUGCCGUAACUUCGGGAGAAGGCACGCUGGUGUGUAGGUGAAGUCCCUGCGGAUGGAGCUGAGACCAGUCGAAGAUACCAGCUGGCUGCAACUGUUUAUUAAAAACACAGCACUGUGCAAACACGAAAGUGGACGUAUACGGUGUGACGCCUGCCCGGUGCCGGAAGGUUAAUUGAUGGGGUUAUCCGUAAGGAGAAGCUCUUGAUCGAAGCCCCGGUAAACGGCGGCCGUAACUAUAACGGUCCUAAGGUAGCGAAAUUCCUUGUCGGGUAAGUUCCGACCUGCACGAAUGGCGUAAUGAUGGCCAGGCUGUCUCCACCCGAGACUCAGUGAAAUUGAACUCGCUGUGAAGAUGCAGUGUACCCGCGGCAAGACGGAAAGACCCCGUGAACCUUUACUAUAGCUUGACACUGAACAUUGAGCCUUGAUGUGUAGGAUAGGUGGGAGGCUUUGAAGCGUGGACGCCAGUCUGCGUGGAGCCAACCUUGAAAUACCACCCUUUAAUGUUUGAUGUUCUAACGUUGGCCCCUUAUCGGGGUUGCGGACAGUGUCUGGUGGGUAGUUUGACUGGGGCGGUCUCCUCCCAAAGCGUAACGGAGGAGCACGAAGGUUAGCUAAUCCUGGUCGGACAUCAGGAGGUUAGUGCAAUGGCAUAAGCUAGCUUGACUGCGAGCGUGACGGCGCGAGCAGGUGCGAAAGCAGGUCAUAGUGAUCCGGUGGUUCUGAAUGGAAGGGCCAUCGCUCAACGGAUAAAAGGUACUCCGGGGAUAACAGGCUGAUACCGCCCAAGAGUUCAUAUCGACGGCGGUGUUUGGCACCUCGAUGUCGGCUCAUCACAUCCUGGGGCUGAAGUAGGUCCCAAGGGUAUGGCUGUUCGCCAUUUAAAGUGGUACGCGAGCUGGGUUUAGAACGUCGUGAGACAGUUCGGUCCCUAUCUGCCGUGGGCGCUGGAGAAUUGAGGGGGGCUGCUCCUAGUACGAGAGGACCGGAGUGGACGCAUCACUGGUGUUCGGGUUGUCAUGCCAAUGGCACUGCCCGGUAGCUAAAUGCGGAAGAGAUAAGUGCUGAAAGCAUCUAAGCACGAAACUUGCCCCGAGAUGAGUUCUCCCUGAGACUUUAAGUCUCCUGAAGGAACGUUGAAGACGACGACGUUGAUAGGCCGGGUGUGUAAGCGCAGCGAUGCGUUGAGCUAACCGGUACUAAUGAACCGUGAGGCUUAACCUU